UUUCCGUAGGUGAACCUGCGGAAGGAUCAUUAACAAAUCAUGAUGUGGGUUGGGUUGCCUCGCGGCUUCCCAUACUCAACAUAUUAACCCGAACCUGUGCAGCAAUGCCAGGCUAGGUGUGGGCGCGAUCUCUUCACAGAGUCAUGCCUUCGGUGAAGCGCUUCUGGCGUGGAUCCACAUAGACGCUUGUUUAUGUUUGACUGUUUUACAAUUGACCUUUGAAAAAAGACAACUUUUAACAAUGGAUCUCUUGGCUCUU
RNAcentral lists this unclassified non-coding RNA (259 nucleotides) under soil metagenome. Its description in RNAcentral is "partial contains small subunit ribosomal RNA, internal transcribed spacer 1, and 5.8S ribosomal RNA". The record is from RNAcentral.